UCGGAGUUACUAUUCACUUAAGUGAAAACUAAUAAUCGCGUAACUCCUCCGUUUUAGCUCAUUUUGUCCUGAAACUUGACGAGUACUUAUAUAAUUAAAUUACACACAUAAACAUCAUCAACAGAGAGUUUAGUUGCACUGUAAAAAUCUCAGUCCUUACAGCUUAUUUGCAAAUGUAACAGCCUAUAUAAACCCCCAACCUCUCUUUUCUCUUGUUCCUAACUAAGAACUCAUCUCCUCUCCUAUUUUCUCCCUCUCCCUCUCUAGAAACUCUACUCCAAGGUGGAAAUGAGGAGAUCAAGAGGAGGAUUUGGAGGAGAUUUUGGAGAUUGGAAGAUCUAAAGCUCUCCUACAAGGUGGAG
This 362-nucleotide long non-coding RNA is filed under the name Ananas comosus (pineapple). RNAcentral's name for it is "long non-coding RNA (ACOM_LNC023537)". The record is from RNAcentral. Lineage: Eukaryota; Viridiplantae; Streptophyta; Magnoliopsida; Poales; Bromeliaceae.